UACGUAGGGUCCGAGCGUUGUCCGGAAUUAUUGGGCGUAAAGGGCUCGUAGGCGGUUUGUUACGUCGGGCGUGAAAACUCAGGGCUCAACCCUGAGCGUGCUUCCGAUACGGGCAGACUAGAGGUAUUCAGGGGAGAACGGAAUUCCUGGUGUAGCGGUGGAAUGCGCAGAUAUCUGGAGGAACACCGGUGGCGAAGGCGGCAUCCUGGACCGAGAUUGACGCUGAGGAGCGAAAGCUAGGGGAGCAAACGGG
Molecule: ribosomal RNA, 253 nt
Filed under: uncultured bacterium
Lineage: Bacteria
Description: partial 16S ribosomal RNA
Rfam family: Bacterial small subunit ribosomal RNA
Source: RNAcentral